Fukomys damarensis (Damara mole-rat) is the source of this 102-nucleotide non-coding RNA. The record is from Rfam. NCBI's taxonomy places the organism in Eukaryota, Metazoa, Chordata, Mammalia, Rodentia, Bathyergidae.
AUCCUUUGGUUCAUGAGUGUGAUGAUCUGGUGUUCAUGCUGUAUGAGCAGGAUGUGCCUUCCUCAAUCCUUGUUAUGACAUUGGCACAUUACCUGUCUGAUG